GUGUCAGCCGCCGCGGUAAGACGGGGGGUCCAAGCGUUGUUCGGAAUCAUUGGGCGUAAAGCGUGUGCAGGUGGUCUUGUAAGUUGGAUGUGAAAGCCCCGGGCUUAACCCGGGAAGUGCAUUCAAAACUGCAAGACUUGAGUAUGGAAGAGGGUCGUGGAAUUCCAGGUGUAGUGGUGAAAUACGUAGAUAUCUGGAGGAACACCGGUGGCGAAGGCGGCGACCUGGUCCUAUACUGACACUCAUACACGAAAGCGUGGGGAUCAAACAGGAUUAGAUACCCUGGUAGUCC
This 292-nucleotide ribosomal RNA is filed under the name uncultured bacterium. RNAcentral's name for it is "partial 16S ribosomal RNA". It matches the Rfam family "Bacterial small subunit ribosomal RNA", at positions 505 to 796 of the family's 1533-position model. The record is from RNAcentral.